UCUCUCUCCCCUCUCCCCGUGUGUGUGUGUGUGUGUGUGUGUGUGUGUGUGUCUGGUCUCCCUGUGCCCCUGUCCUAUAGCGUUUAGGACCCUCUCACAUAAUCGGGGACCAUCUCCAUGUCCCAGGAUCCUCAGCUGGGGUCUGCAGGCUCUCUUGCCGUAUAAGGGAGCAGUUAUGGGUUCUGGGGAUGAGGGCCUGAAUUUUCUGGGGGAGGGAGGGUGAUUUCUCCUGCCAUAAUGACCAGUGAUGGCCUUGACCAGGAAUCUGGUAAGAGUCCCACAAGCAUGUAAACCCCUUAUGGUGUGCAGUUUCUCCCGCAUACCUGACUCCAGGCAGGUGGCUGGGACAAGCGCUGUGCGGGGGACAUGGCCCCUGCCUUGCUGAGUCACCGCGUCACCACACUCGGGCCACUGUUGUGAGGACUGGGAUGACUGGCAUAUCCUUGGCCUCUGCUGCACCCACGAAGGAGCAGUGAUGCAGUGAGCAUGGACGAGCACAUCUCUCUCUGACAUCCUGCUGUUGAUCGCUGGAUCAUAUGGUGGUGACACUGAACUUCUCUCCACGUGCUUGGUGCUCACAUCUAUUUCGUGUGUAGAGAAGUGUCUGCUCAAGUCCUUUGCCCAUUUAAAUUUUUCAUUUGUUAGAGAGGCAGUGAGAGAGUGAUUCUCAUGUACCUGUUCACUUCCGCAUGUCCAUAUGGCCCCCGGCCGGGACCAGAACUCCAUGCGGCUGUCCCAGGUGGCUGGUGGCGGGCCCGUGUGCUCGAGCCAUCUUGCUGCCUCCCGGGUUGCUCAUCAGCAGAAAGCUAGAAUUGGAAGUGGAGCUGGCACAUAAACUCGAUCACUCCCGAAUGGGAUGUGGGCCAGGUCACAUGCCCCCCACCCACUUUUUCAUCAGAUUAUUUCUUUAAAAAAUUUUUUUAAAUUUAUUUUUAAUUCCCCAGAUGGCUGCAAUGGCCAGGGCUGGGCCAAUCCAAAGCUUGGAACAUCUGUGUCUCCCAUGUGGGUGCAGGGGCCCAAGCACUUGGGCCAUUCUCUACUGCUUUCCUGGGAGCAUUAGCAGGGAGCUGGAUCCAAAGUGGAGCAGCCAGGACAAAACCGGCACCCAUAUGGGAUGCUGGCAUCACAGGCAGAGACUUAACCUGCUACGCCACAGUGCUGGCCCCCCAAGUGGCAUCUUAACCACUGUUACUACAUUUACUAAUGCCACCUCUGCCUCUGAUUUUAAUGUAUUGUGUGUAUAUGUGUGUGUCAUUGAAACGUGAUUCAGAUAUGAAAAACGCAGUCUUAAAGUAUACAAUUCAUGGGACCGGCACUGUGCCAUAGGGGGUUAAGCCUUCCUGCGGCACCAGCAUCCCAUUUGAGUGCCUGUUCGAGUCCCAGCUGCUCCACUUCUAAUCCAGCUCUCUGCGAUGGCCUGGGAAAGCAGUAGAAGGUGGCCCAAAUGUUUGGGCCCUUGCACCUGUGUGAGAGACCCAGAAGAAUCUCCUGGCUCCUGCCAUUGGGUCCACUUGGGGAGUAAACCAGCGGAUGGAAGACCUCUCUCUCUGUCUCUCCCUCUCUCUGUAACUCUGCCUCUCAAAUAAAUAAAACUCUUAAAAAAAAUUCAGUGUGGUUUUCAGUCUACUCACAAGAUUUUGAAACAAUCACCACUGUGUAGUUCCAGAAUUCUUUCUUUUUUUCUUUUUUUAAUGGAAUGACUUGGUUAUAUUGCAGUAGUUUAGAUUUUUUUUUAAGAAUUAUUUUACUUAUUUGAAAGACAGAGGAGUUGCAGAGAGAAGUAGAGCCAGAGAGAGAGAGAGAGAGAGAGAGAGAGGGAGGUCUUACAUUCUGCUGGUUCACUCCCCAAAUGACCACAACGGCUGGAGCUGAGCUGAUCCGAAGCCAAGAGCCAGGAGCUUCUGGGUCUCCCACGUGGAGUUGAGCCAUCUUCCACUGCUUUUCCAGCAGAGCUAGAUCAGAAGAGGAGCAGCCGGGACUCGAACCGGUGCUCCUAUGGGUUGCUGACACUGCAGGCUGGGGCUUUAACCCGCUGUGCCACAGCAGCGGCCCCCAGAAUUGUUUCAUCACCCCAGAUGGAAAGCCUGCACCCACUAAGCAGUCACUUCCCACUCCUCCUUCCCCGAGCCCCUGGCACCCACCAGUCUGCUCUCUGUGCGUAUGAAUGUGCCUGAUCUGCACAUUACACAUCCGUGAAAUCAGCACCAGUCAGGGUUGCUCAGAGAAACAGAGCCAGCCAGCUCUCUAGAAACAUAGAGAUUGCCUGGGCAGGGUUGCUCCCCGUGAACAUGGAGGCUGUGUAGUCCCCAGAUCUGCUGUCCACACGUUGGAGACCCGGGGAAGCUGUGGGUGCGGCUGCAGUCCAGGCCCGCAGCCUGAGAGCCAGGCGAGCCCUGGUACGCUGUAGUCCUGGAGCGCUGGUGUGUGAGAGCAGAACGUGGGUGUCCCGGCGCAGGCAGAGAGUGGGUUUUCCCAUCCUCUACCUUUCUGCUCUGCGUUCAGCCCUCCACAGGUUGGGUGAUGCCUGCCUGCAUCGCUGAUUCGAAUGCCAAACUGUGCUGGCAGUGCCCUCACAGCUCUCUGGGCCCAGCCAAGGUGCCACGUGACAUUAUACAGUAUGCACUUGUCUCUGAUUUCUCCCACUUGGCAUAGUGGUUUCCGAGUUCGCCCACAUUUUGGUACUUACCAGGAUUUCCUUCCUUUUUAUGGCGGGCUACGUUCCACAGCCUGGAUAUGCCGCUGUGCGUUUAUCAGCUGAUGGGCAUUUGGGUGGUUUCUGCUCCAGCAGCAACGUUGCUAAGAAUACUGGGGCGUGAGGGUCUGCGCAGACAUCUGCUUUCACUUCUGCGCACGUUUCUAGGAGUGAAGUUGCUGUGCCACGGUGCGGCUGCUCGGGGACCAGGAGCAACCUGGGCUUUUGGUCGAGCAGACCUCGAUUUGGAUCUCAACUCCACCCUUCCCCAGCUGAGUUAUGGUGUCCCCACGGUGUGGUUAUGGGUUCAAGUUGGCAGGUGCCCCCUGAGACUCAAGUGGGCUUUCCUCGUCUCCCCAGAAGGGUCCGAGCUGGGGACACAGCAUCUUCCUCUCAUCCGCAGUCCAGCCACUGCACCUGCAGCGCCUGGCGCUUUGUCACCUGCAGGGGUGUGCGCUACAUGUCACCUUGAAUCCUCAAAUUGCAGCUUUCACUUUCUGCCAGUCUUUUCUGUGACUCUGUUCGCCUAGGCCUGUGGCUGCUUUGCCAACUCACAAUUCCCCUCACCUGGGGCAGCCGGCAGGUGGGUACAGUAAUCCCAGUGACCCCUCUGUUACUUUGAGACACUCAGGUCAUUUUCAGGGAGGUCUGCAUUGGCCUGUGGUCACAGUGACCUUGAACUUGAACAGAGACCCCGGCACCUUCCAGACCCCCAGUUUUCUCCUCCACUGUCAGGUUGUGUGAGUGAGCCGAGGGGGGUGACGGGUAUGUAUACGACAAGCCCCGUGUGGGCAUCCGGAACGCUUGCUGUAACUGACGGUUUGCGUGCCUCCACGUCUGUCUGCACAGGGCUGGAACGGAUCACGCUGGGGUUCUCCCUGGAGCGGGAAACUGCCCUUCCUCUGGGAAGUUAGGCUGAUGCUCUCUAGGCACCGUCUUGCAGAACUGCUCUGCACCCAAAGGUCACAGGUUCCAGAGAGUUCCCACCACCGCAGAGCAGUCUCCUCCUGCCACCAUGUGUUUCCAGAACUUGACUUUGGUCUUGGUUGUCGGAACCGGUUCCUUGGCUGGUGUUUUGCAUUUGGGCCUUGCUCACCCCGGUGGGUGUCACAUUGGGAAGAACACUGUCCUCUGAGAGUGUCACGUGUCUGUGCCGGCCCAGCCUGGGGGCAAAGGUCACAUGGAGAAAAAGCCACCUCUGGAACUCCCUCACUAGCUCGGAAGGUCCUUUUGUCUCUCCCGUCAUCCA
Non-coding RNA from Oryctolagus cuniculus (rabbit), 3941 nucleotides. The record is from RefSeq and is a predicted model, not a curated record. Lineage: Eukaryota; Metazoa; Chordata; Mammalia; Lagomorpha; Leporidae.